RNAcentral lists this ribosomal RNA (301 nucleotides) under uncultured bacterium. Its description in RNAcentral is "partial 16S ribosomal RNA". It matches the Rfam family "Bacterial small subunit ribosomal RNA", at positions 509 to 808 of the family's 1533-position model. The record is from RNAcentral.
CAGUAGCCGCGGUAAUGCGUAGGGUGCAAGCGUUAAUCGGAAUUACUGGGCGUAAAGCGUGCGCAGGCGGUUUGUUAAGACAGAUGUGAAAUCCCCGGGCUCAACCUGGGAACUGCAUUUGUGACUGGCAGGCUAGAGUAUGGCAGAGGGGGGUGGAAUUCCGCGUGUAGCAGUGAAAUGCGUAGAUAUGCGGAGGAACACCGAUGGCAAGGCAGCCCCCUGGGCCAAUACUGACGCUCAUGCACGAAAACGUGGGGAGCAAACAGGAUUAGAUACCCCCGUAGUCCCUGUCUCUUAUACA